This is a non-coding RNA of Gossypium hirsutum (cotton), 145 nucleotides long. Lineage: Eukaryota; Viridiplantae; Streptophyta; Magnoliopsida; Malvales; Malvaceae. The record is from Rfam.
UGUUAAAAAUUUCAUACAUUUCUACGUUUAAACACUAGUAUGGUUAACGGAAUAACCAAACUGUUACACAUGGUGUGCCAUGCAUACCACAUUCUAACGUACAAUGACCAAUUUUUAACAAUAGAAAUAGAUGGAAUUUUUAAUA